This is an RNA transcript of Triplophysa dalaica, 5561 nucleotides long. It is a transcript of the gene named beta-1,4-N-acetyl-galactosaminyl transferase 1a, with no coding region annotated. The transcript is spliced from 2 exons. The record is from RefSeq and is a predicted model, not a curated record. NCBI's taxonomy places the organism in Eukaryota, Metazoa, Chordata, Actinopteri, Cypriniformes, Nemacheilidae.
AACCAUGUUUUAUACUGUGUUUAUACUUUAUAACCAUGUUUGUAAUGUAACAUGCUAGACAAGGUGACUGAGGAAAACAGAGAACUAUACUGGCUGGGAGAUCUAAAUAUUGAUUGGCUGUCGGAUAUUUGUCCUCUGAAGAAUAAGCUUAAAACUAUGACAGACACCUGUGGUUUAUCUCAAUUAAUGGAUCAGCCAACAAGAAUUUCUAGUAACAAUACAAGAUCUUUAACAUCGAAAUGUAUUGAUCAUAUUUAUACUAACAAUCUUGAUGUGUGUUCGACACCUGUUUCUGUAACAGUUGGAUUUAGUGAUCACAACUGUAUUGCGGUCUCUAGGAGAACUAAGCUACCUAAAGCCUGUCCUAAAAUUAUUAUGAAAAGAUCUUAUAGGGCAUUUAAUGAGGAGAGUUUUCUAAAUGAAUUGGAUAAUAUUAAAUGGAAUUUGAUAUGUGACAUUGAUGAUGUAGAUGCAUCUCUUAAUUUAUUUAUGGAUUGUUUUAUGAGAGUUGUUAACAAUCAUGCCCCAUUAAAGAAAUUUACAGUUAAAGCCAAAAGGGCUCCUUGGGUUGACACGGAGUUAAGGAGCUUAAUGGCUCAAAGGGAAGAGGCUAAAAAGGUUGCGGUUCUUUCUGACUCGUUUAAAGACAGAAAAUGUUAUUGUAUUUUAAGGAAUCAGGUAACCAAGGUGAACAGAGUGAAAAAGAAAAAAUAUUUUCAGAAGAGAAUUGACGAUAGUGGUACAGAUUGUAAGAGAAUGUGGAAUGUACUCAAUGAUAUCAUGGGAAAAAAAUCUACUCGUACUUCUUUUGUUGAAUGGAAGGGAGUUUAUUUGACUAAGCCAAUACAGAUUGCAAAUUAUUUUAAUGAUUAUUUUGUAAAUAAGGUUUCUAACUUUAGAGAGACAAUGAAAUCCACUGUUGAUUCCAACUUAAAUGAGCUAAUUGAAAGGUGUAUUAUGAAUGAUAAACUGUGUAGUUUUGAAUUUCAUCGGGUUAAUGUUGUGCAGGUGGAAAUGUUGCUGAGAUCUUUGACUGUUGGUGGGUCUGUUGGUACAGACAACUUGGAUAGUCGGCUGUUGAAGUUAUCAGCUGGGCAUAUCUCUAAACCAAUCUGUCAUAUUUUUAACAGAUGUCUGAUUGAUGGUGAGUGUCCAAAACUUUGGAAGGAGGGUAAGAUAAUUCCUUUACCCAAAGACACAAAAUCAACUUUCUGUGGUUCAAAUAGUAGGCCUAUAAGCAUUUUGCCUAUUCUAAGUAAAUUAUUGGAAAAGAUUGUAUUUAAGCAAGUGCAAGAUUAUUUUUCUAACAAUGAUUUGACUACGAUGUUUCAGCAUGCUUAUAGGUAUGGUCAUUCAACCUGCACUGCAAUGACACAAAUGUCGGAUAGCUGGCUAACAUCAAUUGAUAAUUCAAUGCUAGUGGGUACACUAUUACUGGACUUUAGUGCGGCUUUUGAUGUGAUCGACCACGAAAUUUUGAUUUCCAAACUUAUUAGUUAUGGUUUCACUUCCUCCGCAAUCAAGUGGUUUAAGAGCUAUUUGUCGGAGAGGUCGCAAAGAGUUUAUUUUAAUGGUGCAUUAUCGUGUAGCAAGUCUUUGGAUUGUGGUGUUCCUCAAGGAAGUUGCCUAGGACCUUUGCUAUUUGCAAUUUUUAUAAAUGAUAUGCCCUAUAUACUCAGUAAGGCUACAUUGACUAUGUUUGCUGACGAUACUACUCUUUAUUAUGCAGCUCCUACAUGUUUAGAGCUUAAUCAGGUUCUGUCUUGUGAGAUUAGCAAAUUGUAUAACUGGAUCAAAACAAAUAAACUUGUUCUAAAUAUUUCAAAAACUAUGAGUAUAAUAUUUGGUUCGAAAUAUAGAUUAUCUGAUUAUCCUAAACUUACUUUACAUGUAAAUGGUCAAAAUAUACAGCAAGUAAAAAAGGUAAAGCUUCUUGGACUUUGGCUUGAUUCCACACUGUCAUGGUCUGAUCACAUUAAUACAGUUGUGGCUAAAAUGCGUAGAGCUGUUGCAGUUGUGCGUAAAUGUGCACAGUUUCUAAAUUCACAGCUAUUUAGUCGUGUUGUGUGUACGUUGGUUUUGUGUCAUUUAGAUUACUGUUCUGUUGUAUGGUCUGCUGCAUCAAGUAGUCAUUUAAGAAAAUUACAAGUGGCUCAAAACAAGGCUGCAAGACUGGUUCUUGGUUGUUCUUCGAGAACCAAUGGUGCGGAGAUGCAUGAACGUCUUGCUUGGAUGUUGGUCAAGCAUAGACUAUCUGCUAAUAUGUUAGUAUACCUUCAUAGAAUUAUUACCAUUCGGACUCCUACAUUUUUUUAUGAUAAUAUAAUUUACUAUUCAGAUAUGCAUUUACAUUACACAAGAGGGGCGAAUAGUCGACAGAUCUCUUUACCCCUACCUAAAUCUGACUCUAUGAAGAGGACAGUGUUUUAUAGGGCAAUUGUGUUUUGGAACAAUCUUCCAGUUGGGGUUCGUGAAAUUAAGGGAAAAACUGGUUUUAAAAAAAGACUAAGACUGUAUUUGUUGUUAACAUCAUAAGAUUGUAUUAUGUGACACUUAUUUUAUUUAAUUUUAUAUUUUAUUUUAUUUUUUUUGUUCUCUCAUGUGUAUUUACAUAUGAUAUAUUUGGGAGUAAUUGUGAUUGUAAUUAUUGGGUUUUUGUAUGUAUUGUUUGGACCCCAGGAAGACUAGCUGUCGUUUCGGCGUCAGCUAAUGGGGAUCCUUUUGAAAUAAACAAAUAAACAAAUAAACAAAUAAACCAGUUAAAUAUAAACUUUAUCCUCGGCGCCUCGGAUCCUAUCCACGUUAAUACAGAGUAAAUAUUUUUUUCAAAUUAUAGAGACAUAAGAUUUAUCUUCAUGUAUUACAGUGAACCUAAUAAUUUUAUAAAAAAAUACAGGUUUGCAUAUUUGGCACUUAACUAUAUUAAUGUCAAAAGGGUUAUAGACGAUUUCAUUGGACGCACGCACCUAGUUCGAAGUUAACUUCUGGUCUGUGUUUGUUGAUCGAUCUUGCUAGUGGCUAAUAAUAUAUAUUGUAUUUUAUUUCUAUGAAUAUUUUAUUAUAUAAUAUUAAACAAACAAUUUGUUCAAUUUUAUUGUAUAUUCAUUUGGCUCGUGUAACUUUGCCGCAUUUAAGUUUAGCCAAGUAACGGUUCUUCUACUGGUAACCCAAAAUAAUACUGGCUAGACGUACUUUCAAUUUGCUUGCUAAUGUAAUUUGCUUUAAUGUAAUUUUCCUUUCCUUUGCACAACUAAUCUGUGUACAUUGCCUUUUGACUUUGCAGAAUGAUGCAUGCAAGAUGGCAAAAAAGAAAACCAUCUUGCUGGUCAUUUUAUGUGACAUGGUACGCCAGUUUAUUGUAGUAUGCCCAAAAAUGGCUUCCGUUGGUUUCAUGAAGGCUAAUCAUUAUUUUUCUGAAAUAUCAGCUCAUUUAUAGCAGGCAGAUCCAACCACAGAUAAUCUUUUUAAUUCUACUUAAUGCAUUCAUAUUUUCUGUUCAAUAGCUGUAGUCAGGCAGCAAUGAUUUCUUUUUGUAAACUGAUUUUGUCAAUAUUCCAGUGUUUUCUCACAUUGGGGUAAUCUUUUGACAAGCAAAAAUGUUUAAAGUGAAUGAUUAAAGAUUAUAUUGUCACACUGCUAAAAGCCAAAUGAGCAUAAACACAUUUUCAUAUCACGACACGGUCCUAAGCAUUAGUAUGACAGACAAUGAAUAAAUAAUAUAGCAAAGACUCUAUUUCCAAGUCUCCAAAUAGCAUUUUGAUGGCCCAAAUGAAUAUACAGACUUGCUUUUCCACUUACACUGGAAAAUCUACUCAUUUCUUGUAUAAUUUUGUGGCAUAUCGCUGAUGGGGAUGUGUUUUAACAACACGAGGACAGACUGGUGUGCUGCCUAACAACCCUAAAUGUCUGUGUAGUGCAGAACGUUCAACUCUUCCGAUAAGAGGACACAAUCAGACUCAAAUUAACAUUUAGAUGACCAUAAAACCUUGCAAGCCAGUGGGAGGCGAACUCAGGAGGAGUGUGAGGUCGCAGUCUACCCCAGAAGACCCGUGGGUUGCAGACACGCAAAAGGAGUUGUGUCCCCUCUGGGUGACACAAGCAGCAGGGGUCUCUGGACUACAUUGAACUCACCCCACUGUUAGACACGUCCCGACACACGCAGGCACCUCCGACGUUUCAUUGGCUAUCAACCCUUGGAUGUCCUGCUGGAUCCUGUCUCUACAUUAAGCUCCCUUGAGCCUUACAGCUUCAGUGACACUCCUCCACCCUGGCUUUUAAUAACUCUCUAGUUGUAUCGGCUUUUGCGACAAAGAUUCACUCUGCUGCAUCUGCGGCCCCCACGUUCUGAAAUUCGUUCCUUGCUGCUCUUCUCUUCAUCCAUCCAUAAAGCUGCCACAAACUUGGGGAAUGUGAGGUAGAUUUACUGCAAGAGUGUCUUUCUGUCCUUGAGCUGGCAACCAUUGUAAUGUUUCAAUAGACACAAGCCUUUGAACUUAAAUGUGAACAGUCCAAUACAAGUUGCGGAAAUAGGGGUCUCGUGGCCCUAGCUGACACAGCAGAGAGACAACGCCGUUCCGCCUCCGUAAUUUCCUAAGCUACAGAUGUGAUCUUCACCUAAAUGUGAAGUCACGAUGUUACCUUUACAGCUGGCUUUUCAUAGAUUUUUGCUUACGACGUAGCUGUUGAUUCUGACUGCUUAUGUAAGAGUGAAUCAAAUGCUUUCCUGUGGCUCAGUGGUUAGAGCAUAGCACUCACAACGCCAAGGUCAUGGGUUUGAUCCCAGGGAAUUGCACAUAGUCAGAAUUAAAUGUAUAGAACCAUGCAAUGUAAGUCGCUUUAGAUAAAAGUGUAAAAUGCAUAAAUGUAAGUUUUGUAAAACAGGAGUUUUUGAUAUUCAACUUUUUACUCUUGUGUGAGUAUAGCAUUUAGCACAUUGCAUUGUGGACCAAAUCUAAAGAGAGAUUAAAUAUGAAAUUAAACAUUUAUGCAAACAUGAUUUUUAAAAGAUUUGUGUUGCAGAUGCAGAUAGAAAGUGAUAAACAAUUUCCACUUUGCACAUAGUACUAUACUAAUACUCUGAAAUACAUUGCAUGGUUGUAGUACAAUUUUUUUAAUGCACCAAAGCUCAGAUCGGAUCAAGUUACAAAGGAAAUUGUUUAAAGGGGUCAUAUGCGCGAACACGUGUUUUUAUUUGUCUUUGGUGUGUUAUAAGAUCCCCAUGGAUGUAUGAGACACUUAAAAUUGGAAAAAAAGAUGGAUUCUAUCUAAAAGCGAAUGCUCACCCAGACCUGCCUGAAACAACUCAUGUAACCACACCCCCACAAAUCUACAUCAGUUCGUCAGAUUUGAAUUGACUAAGACCGUCCAAAUGUAUACGCAAGUAAGUUCGGCGUAUCUGUCAGUAUAAUUACUUUGGAACCUGAUGUUCCAAAUAUGGUAAGUAGCGUUAUAUUUCCGUCACAGGCUUGUAGUAAUCGACCUAUCACUACGCACAUGUUAACUGGCCGUUUCAGAGAGGAGGAGCAAAGAGGAAAUACAAACAUGCACGGUAUGUCAUGUAU